AACGAACGCUGGCGGCAUGCCUAACACAUGCAAGUCGAACGAUAUCUUCGGGUCUAGUGGCGCACGGGUGCGUAACGCGUGGGAAUCUGCCCUUUGGUUCGGAAUAACAGUUGGAAACGACUGCUAAUACCGGAUGAUGACGAAAGUCCAAAAGUUUAUGGCAAGGGGAUGAGCCCGCGUAGGAUUAGCUAGUGGGUGUGGUAAAGGCGAACCAAGGCGACGAUCCUUAGCUGGUCUGAGAGGAUGAUCAGCCACACUGGGACUGAGACACGGCCCAGACUCCUACGGGCGGCAGCAGUGGGGAAUAUUGGACAAUGGGCGAAAGCCUGAUCCAGCAAUGCCGCGUGAGUGAUGAAGGCCUUAGGGUUGUGAAGCUCUUUUACCCGGGAUGAUAAUGACAGUACCGGGAGAAUAAGCUCCGGCUAACUCCGUGCCAGCAGCCGCAGUAA
This 449-nucleotide ribosomal RNA is filed under the name uncultured bacterium. RNAcentral describes it as "partial 16S ribosomal RNA". It matches the Rfam family "Bacterial small subunit ribosomal RNA", at positions 29 to 523 of the family's 1533-position model. The record is from RNAcentral.